This 239-nucleotide ribosomal RNA is filed under the name Macrocera centralis. Its description in RNAcentral is "12S ribosomal RNA". The record is from RNAcentral. Lineage: Eukaryota; Metazoa; Arthropoda; Insecta; Diptera; Keroplatidae.
UUAAUUAGUAGUAAUUUUUAUAUUAUAAAAUAAUAUAUAAUAAAAAUUUAAAAUUUAAUAAAUUUGGCGGUAUUUUAAUCUAUUUAGAGGAAUCUGUUUUUUAAUUGAUAAUCCACAUUUUAUCUUUCUUAAUUUUGUAAAAUUUGUAUAUCGUUGUCAUAAAAAUAUCUUAUUAGAGAAAAAAUUUUUUUAAUUAUAUAAUUAUAAAAAUGUCAAAUCAAGGUGCAGUUUAUGAUUAA